AGAUUAAGUUGUUAAGGGCGCACGGUGGAUGCCUUGGCACUAGGAGCCGAUGAAGGACGGGACUAACACCGAUAUGCUUCGGGGAGCUGU
Molecule: ribosomal RNA, 90 nt
Filed under: Lederbergia galactosidilytica
Lineage: Bacteria; Bacillati; Bacillota; Bacilli; Caryophanales; Bacillaceae
Description: Bacillus galactosidilyticus partial 23S ribosomal RNA
Rfam family: Bacterial large subunit ribosomal RNA
Source: RNAcentral